This 2076-nucleotide long non-coding RNA is filed under the name Gallus gallus (chicken). The record is from RNAcentral. Lineage: Eukaryota; Metazoa; Chordata; Aves; Galliformes; Phasianidae.
GCCUCACUUCAAUAUUUCUGUUGCCACACGCAAUCCUGCACUGCCCAAAUGGGAUUUCUCCUAUUAAUGCAGCAAGACAAUUGUACAGGCUCAUUGCAGAUGCCAAGCAGAAGACCAGUAUUAUAACAUACACUAGCCACUUGUAGAAGAAAUAAAGUAAAAUCAGCAUGACACAACAGAUGACAACAAACAAGACAACUGUUAGAGUGGUGAGAGUGACAUUUUCCUCCUUCUUCCGCCUUGUUUCUCUGUCCCCAGGACUUGCCGUUGCUUUCAAAUUCUCAAGUUCUGCUACUCCGCUCCAGUAGGCCCCGAGUGCCACAGUGAACACAGCAAUGACAAAGAUGACAACCAUACUGCAAUCGAACUCCGGCAAAGGUGGUGAAUAGAGAGUCACACUAAUUUCAUUUCCAAGAGUCAGCUGCAUAUCCACUAUGUCAUUAUAUCUUAUAAGAGCAACUGGUAGAGAUAAAUUUUCAAAAUCGGUCUUGUUAUCUGAAGGAGGAGACAGCCUAGCUUUACUGGCAAUCAACAGCAUUUUAGCACCCAAACUUUGAGCAAUUCUUGCUUUCUCCAAAAAAGUGCAGUUUCCUCUCAUCACGACAACGGCUUUGUCCUUCAUUACAACAGCAGGAACUUUAGAAGAAUCACAGAGUACCGUAGAAGUCAGGUUUUCCAGAGACCUGAAAGUAGCAUUGUCCAGGCUGCUUGGGAGAGAUAUCCAGUUAGAAUUGUAGGCUAUGCAGUAAUCCUUUGUUAAGGGAGUCAUGCCAUUUCCAGAAGCGUGCAGGAUUCCCUCAUCUGCAUUUAUCGGCGGGAGCAGCGAUCCACACAGCGCGGCCCACAGCAGCACGGCGGCCCUCAUCUUCCUCGGCCGCCGCCACCCGCUCGGCUACGGGCCGCCCCGCGCCCGUCACGGAGCCUCGGCCGCCGGCUCCCGGGGAGGCUCCACUUCCUCUUCCGCCGGGGGCUGCCGCCGCCGGCCGGGACAGAGCGGCCCCUUCCCUCAGCGCGACGGGGACGGGCGGCCGCGGGCUUUGCCUGAGGGCGGCGCUGCGCUGCGCUGCGCGGGGCCUGGCUGCCCGCUGAGCCGGCUGCGGGGCUCGGGGCUGUUGGCGGCCGGGAGGCGCGAAGGAUCUCUGUGAGCGCUCCGUGUAGCCGGGCUGCCCGCCUUCCCGGCAGCGCGUCCUCUCGUGCCGUGCCUUCGCUGUGACUGUGUGUGCAGGCAGCAGCUAGUUUUGCACCUGACAGCUCCAAGGCGUUGGGCUUCUGUUACCUCACGCUGCCAUUGCAAACAAAAGGGAACAACAACUGUCGCCCCAUGUCUCCACAGACAGUGUUUUGUCUCGCUGCACUCUUUUGGGGUGAUGUGGGUGCAAACACGAAGCCAUGAGAGAGCAGCAGAAGGGCAGCGGGCUGCAAAGCACGGCCUGCAGGAGGUGCCUGAGGGAUCAGGCUGAGAGUGUUUCGGAGAAAGUGGUUUUUUUCCAGAUCUGAGAGCGCUGGGACUGUGAUGUGCGUGCUGUGAGAACCGCUGUGACCCACAGGAAGGAGGCACACUGAAGCAGCUCAGUGAUUUACCACUGAGGAAGUUGUGCAACAUCCUUCAGUGAAGGCGUUUAGGAGCUUUAGGCCCUUCCCAAAGGGCCUGGGCCUGACUUGGGCCCAGUGUGCGUGAGAAAGCAGAGGGACAAAGAUAAGGUUGAUGUGACCAUGAGAGAGAACACAGGAGCAAUGGAAAACAAGAGACAAGAGAGAUAAGCUGUGGUCCAGCUGCACUCAGUCAAAGUCUCAGCAGAGGAAGAUGCUUGCUUGCACCACUCAUGCACCAACUGUGGUUGUUACAACCACUGGAGAGGGAAGUUCCACAUGUAUGCCUUUCCUUCUGCGUGAAUUUAAGGACAAGGCCUUGUAAAGUAUCUCCAGGGAACACUUCCUGCUGCACUGUGGCAAAUGUUCAGUAAACGGCUCUGUUGCUGCAAACAUCAGAGCAGUCACAUACUGGCCAUUAUCAUCGCUGUGUGAGCACAGCAAAGGCACCAUGGCCCCACAGGAGCACGCAGAAAUCAAAGCUGU